Molecule: ribosomal RNA, 492 nt
Filed under: uncultured bacterium
Lineage: Bacteria
Description: partial 16S ribosomal RNA
Rfam family: Bacterial small subunit ribosomal RNA
Source: RNAcentral
AUUGAACGCUGGCGGCAUGCUUUACACAUGCAAGUCGAACGGUAACAGGCCUUCGGGUGCUGACGAGUGGCGAACGGGUGAGUAAUGCAUCGGAACGUGCCCAGAGGUUGGGGAUAACGCAGCGAAAGCUGUGCUAAUACCGCAUGUGAUCUGAGGAUGAAAGCGGGGGACCAGGCAGCAAUGUUUGGCCUCGCGCCUUUGGAGCGGCCGAUGUCAGAUUAGGUAGUUGGUGGGGUAAAGGCCUACCAAGCCGACGAUCUGUAGCUGGUCUGAGAGGACGACCAGCCACACUGGGACUGAGACACGGCCCAGACUCCUACGGGAGGCAGCAGUGGGGAAUCUUGGACAAUGGGCGCAAGCCUGAUCCAGCAAUGCCGCGUGAGGGAAGAAGGUCUUCGGGUUGUAAAACGCUUUUGUACGGAACGAAAAGGCUCUGGCGAAUACCUGGGGCUGAUGACGGUACCGUAAGAAUAAGCACCGGCUAACUACGUG